RNAcentral lists this ribosomal RNA (253 nucleotides) under uncultured bacterium. RNAcentral describes it as "partial 16S ribosomal RNA". It matches the Rfam family "Bacterial small subunit ribosomal RNA", at positions 524 to 776 of the family's 1533-position model. The record is from RNAcentral.
UACGUAGGGGGCUAGCGUUGUCCGGAAUCAUUGGGCGUAAAGAGCGUGUAGGCGGCCCGGUAAGUCCGCUGUGAAAGUCGGGGGCUCAACCCUCGAAUGCCGGUGGAUACUGUCGGGCUAGAGUGCGGAAGAGGCGAGUGGAAUUCCUGGUGUAGCGGUGAAAUGCGUAGAUAUCGGGAGGAACACCAGUGGCGAAGGCGACUUCCUGGCCUGUUCUUGACGCUGAGGCGCGAAAGCUAGGGUAGCAAACGGG